CCUCUUAUUUUGGUUAUUUGAUAAAUAGCUAAUAUGAUUUGCUUUUUCCAGUAUAAGAGGCCAAUCAUCUUCCCUGGCCAAAACGUCCCUAGGUCGGUGGGUGCUUCUACAGAGGGCUCCUCCACAUGAGUGCCGGGUUGGUUCACUACAUGGCCGAGCAAUCUUCCUCUAUCCCAGGUUUUCUCGGGUGGACGUACCAUAAUGUGUGGGAUCCUUCUAUCCAGGUUAUGUUGCCGAGGGUGCCAGUGGCUAGCAAGCAAUGGGCCUCCCAUCCCAUUUGACUGUGUCUCUCCUUCUGAGUAUGUUGAGUGCCGCUCAAUGAUCCAGAGCCUUCACCCUUGUCUGUAUCGCCAUACUGAGUAGAUCCGGGACCAGGCGUGGAAGCACCAUUUCGAUCAUAGAUUUGGUGGUAGAGGUCCCGAUGCCGGUUACGGAGGUGGGAUGCCUGAUCCUGAGUAUGAAGGUGUUUGCCCAAGUUAUAGAGGUGGAUGGUCUGGCCUCGUAUUUGGAGGUGGAGAGCCUGCCUUCGGAGCUAGUAGAUUUUACUUUGAGAGCAGGGAACUGACGAGGAUCCCUCCUUUUCUAAGGAGGAGCUUUAGCUUUACACGAAGGAGUAUGUAUAGGAUGCACAGGGUGGCUAGGAUGGACAUAAUGGGCAGCCAUUGGACCUACCCAUAAAUCUACAUACAGACUUAAAUUUCAUUUGAACUUUUCUUCUCUUUUUUGGUUUUUAUCUCUUUUUGUUGUUGAAACAUGCAAAAUGAUGUUAUUU
Molecule: long non-coding RNA, 772 nt
Organism: Macadamia integrifolia
Lineage: Eukaryota; Viridiplantae; Streptophyta; Magnoliopsida; Proteales; Proteaceae
Exons: 3
Source: RefSeq, a predicted model, not a curated record